UUUCUUCGUUUUAUAUUUAUAUUAACUAUGGGAGCUGGCUAAACACCAGCGGUUUAAUAAAGCGUGUGGACAGUAGUUUAUGUGCAGGCUCUUAUAGCAGCAAUAUACAUGAUGACACGCUGCAUAUAAAUGACUUACAGCAUUGCAGAUAGAUUAGUCGGAGUUUCCAUGGUCUGUCCUCGUUCUUUCUGGUGGUUUUCAAGGAUAAAGAGCUGCAGAGAUACUGGAAGGAUAAGCAGAAAAAUGACAUGGUGACCUCAACAAAAAAAAAGCUAAUAAAAUGAUUCAAACUACUGUGCUGCUCGUGCAUAUAUGUUUGCUGAGCACGUUUGAUGCCUUUGAGCGCAUUUGAUGGCUUUGAACACUUAAUUUGGAUGCCUUCUAGCAUCUUUUACCUUUGAUCGCAUUUGAUGAC
This is a long non-coding RNA of Carcharodon carcharias (great white shark), 415 nucleotides long. RefSeq lists it as uncharacterized. The record is from RefSeq and is a predicted model, not a curated record. Lineage: Eukaryota; Metazoa; Chordata; Chondrichthyes; Lamniformes; Lamnidae. The transcript is spliced from 3 exons.